CUUAGCUUUUUACGAUUAGUUUCGACCUAGUCUUUUGUUGGCUAAAU
RNAcentral lists this transfer RNA (47 nucleotides) under Rhizoglyphus robini. Its description in RNAcentral is "tRNA-Arg". Lineage: Eukaryota; Metazoa; Arthropoda; Arachnida; Sarcoptiformes; Acaridae. The record is from RNAcentral.